GUUCUUCUUCUUUUCAACUCCUCUUAGGUCUCAUCAUGAAAGUUAUGGCUGUCUCCCAAUAAAAUCUAAACUGAAAUAAAGUCUUUUGAAGAAUUUCAUGAGUUUCCAGUCACAGAAUUUUACUUUAAGUUUCCAUUGUUACUGUUUCAUCCUGAUUGUCUGAUAGAAUUGAUUUCUUCUACAGAAUUUGUUCUUAGUUUGUGUUAAUCCUCCACAUAUUCCUUUUCUUUUUCCCCAUCCUGUUGCAUAAUAGAACUGAUAUUUCCCUACUUGGUGCUGUUAAUUCAUUACUUUUCAGAUAUGUAAGAGAUCUUCUUCUGAACCCUCCUGCUUAUGAAAUUGCAUCCGCAAUUCAAGCUGGUGAAGCUACUCGAACUGAGGGAGGCUAAUCAUAUUGAGUUUCGCAGAAUAAAAAAUAUGCUUGAUGAAAUAUUGCACAUGUAUAGAAACUCUGAGCAUUGUGAAAUCCUAAAAGCAUUAAUGGAUCCUACAUGGGUGGCAACUGGUUUGAAAGUUGACUUUGAAACAUUGUGAAUUUUUUGAGGAUAUGGAGU
This 554-nucleotide unclassified non-coding RNA is filed under the name Hevea brasiliensis (rubber tree). Lineage: Eukaryota; Viridiplantae; Streptophyta; Magnoliopsida; Malpighiales; Euphorbiaceae. The record is from RNAcentral.